This 71-nucleotide transfer RNA is filed under the name Scincella reevesii. Its description in RNAcentral is "tRNA-Ile". It matches the Rfam family "tRNA". From Rfam's summary of the family: Transfer RNA (tRNA) molecules are approximately 80 nucleotides in length. Lineage: Eukaryota; Metazoa; Chordata; Lepidosauria; Squamata; Scincidae. The record is from RNAcentral.
GGAAGCGUGCCCGAAUCUUAAGGAGUACUUUGAUAGAGUAUAAUAUAGGGGUUAAAAUCCCCUCUCUUCCC